CUUACCACGGAGUGAUUCAUGACUGGGGUGAAGUCGUAACAAGGUAGCCCUAGGGGAACCUGGGGCUGGAUCACCUCCUUAACGA
RNAcentral lists this ribosomal RNA (85 nucleotides) under Pseudoalteromonas luteoviolacea. Its description in RNAcentral is "partial 16S ribosomal RNA". It matches the Rfam family "Bacterial small subunit ribosomal RNA", at positions 1453 to 1533 of the family's 1533-position model. Lineage: Bacteria; Pseudomonadati; Pseudomonadota; Gammaproteobacteria; Alteromonadales; Pseudoalteromonadaceae. The record is from RNAcentral.